UACGUAGGGCGCAAGCGUUGUCCGGAAUCAUUGGGCGUAAAGAGCUCGUAGGCGGCCUGUUGCGUCCGCUGUGAAAUCCCGGGGCUUAACCCCGGGCGUGCAGUGGAUACGGGCUGGCUGGAGGCAGGCAGGGGAGAACGGAAUUCCCGGUGUAGCGGUGAAAUGCGCAGAUAUCGGGAGGAACACCGGUGGCGAAGGCGGGUCUCUGGGCAGUAACUGACGCUGAGGAGCGAAAGCGUGGGGAGCGAACAGG
RNAcentral lists this ribosomal RNA (253 nucleotides) under uncultured bacterium. Its description in RNAcentral is "partial 16S ribosomal RNA". It matches the Rfam family "Bacterial small subunit ribosomal RNA", at positions 524 to 776 of the family's 1533-position model. The record is from RNAcentral.